RNAcentral lists this ribosomal RNA (569 nucleotides) under uncultured bacterium. RNAcentral's name for it is "bacterial SSU rRNA". It matches the Rfam family "Bacterial small subunit ribosomal RNA", at positions 337 to 917 of the family's 1533-position model. The record is from RNAcentral.
UCCUACGGGAGGCAGCAGUAGGGAAUAUUGGGCAAUGGGCGCAAGCCUGACCCAGCGACGCCGCGUGAGGGAUGAAGGUCUUCGGAUUGUAAACCUCUUUCAGUAGGGAAGAAGCGAAAGUGACGGUACCUAAAGAAGAAGCACCGGCUAACUAUGUGCCAGCAGCCGCGGUAAUACAUAGGGUGCAAGCGUUGUCCGGAAUUAUUGGGCGUAAAGAGCUCGUAGGUCGUUUGUCGCGUCGAUUGUGAAAAUCUGAGGCUCAACCUCAGACCUGCAGUCGAUACGGGCAAACUAGAGUGUGGUAGGGGAGACUGGAAUUCCUGGUGUAGCGGUGGAAUGCGCAGAUAUCAGGAGGAACACCAAUGGCGAAGGCAGGUCUCUGGGCCAUAACUGACACUGAGGAGCGAAAGUGCGGGGAGCGAACAGGAUUAGAUACCCUGGUAGUCCGCACCGUAAACGGUGGGCACUAGUUGUGGGAACCUUCCACGGUUUCCGCGACGCAGCAAACGCAUUAAGUGCCCCGCCUGGGGAGUACGAUCGCAAGAUUAAAACUCAAAUGAAUUGACGGA